Pseudoliparis swirei is the source of this 266-nucleotide long non-coding RNA. RefSeq lists it as uncharacterized. NCBI's taxonomy places the organism in Eukaryota, Metazoa, Chordata, Actinopteri, Perciformes, Liparidae. The transcript is spliced from 2 exons. The record is from RefSeq and is a predicted model, not a curated record.
GAUCAAUCCAGAGAAGGGCACAAAAGUUGAAACCAAGAAAAACAAGAAGCAACUUUCAGUGAACUUGAGUUCCUUCAGAGGUGUUUCUUCCUGAUCAAUCCAGAGAAGGGCACAAAAGUUGAAACCAAGAAAAACAAACUUGUUAUAUCUUGCCAGAACAAACUUUUCAGAUAAGCAAGGUAGGUAAGCUACUAGGAGGGACUUUGCAGAGCUUGUUGACUAGCCAUGCAUUUGAUUUAAUAAAGCUGUCCCUAAGGAAAAUUCAA